UACGUAGGGGGCAAGCGUUGUCCGGAAUCAUUGGGCGCAAAGCGCGUGUAGGCGGCUCGGUAAGUCUGCUGUGAAAGUCCAGGGCUCAACCCUGGGAUGCCGGUGGAUACUGUCGAGCUCGAGUCCGGAAGAGGCGAGUGGAAUUCCUGGUGUAGCGGUGAAAUGCGCAGAUAUCAGGAGGAACACCAAUGGCGAAGGCAGCUCGCUGGGACGUGACUGACGCUGAGACGCGAAAGCGUGGGGAGCAAACAGG
Molecule: ribosomal RNA, 253 nt
Filed under: uncultured bacterium
Lineage: Bacteria
Description: partial 16S ribosomal RNA
Rfam family: Bacterial small subunit ribosomal RNA
Source: RNAcentral